CCUACGGGAGGCAGCAGUGAGGAAUAUUGGUCAAUGGACGAGAGUCUGAACCAGCCAAGUGGCGUGAAGGAUGACUGCCCUAUGGGUUGUAAACUUCUUUUAUAUGGGAAUAAAAUGUUCCACGUGUGGGCUUUUGUAUGUACCAUAUGAAUAAGGAUCGGCUAACUCCGUGCCAGCAGCCGCGGUAAUACGGAGGAUCCGAGCGUUAUCCGGAUUUAUUGGGUUUAAAGGGAGCGUAGGUGGAUUGUUAAGUCAGUUGUGAAAGUUUGCGGCUCAACCGUAAAAUUGCAGUUGAAACUGGCAGUCUUGAGUACAGUAGAGGUGGGCGGAAUUCGUGGUGUAGCGGUGAAAUGCUUAGAUAUCACGAAGAACUCAGAUUGCGAAGGCAGCUCACUGGACUGCAACUGACACUGAGGCUCGAAAGUGUGGGUAUCAAACAGGAUUAGAUACCCGAGUAGUC
This 460-nucleotide ribosomal RNA is filed under the name uncultured bacterium. RNAcentral's name for it is "partial 16S ribosomal RNA". It matches the Rfam family "Bacterial small subunit ribosomal RNA", at positions 338 to 795 of the family's 1533-position model. The record is from RNAcentral.